RNAcentral lists this ribosomal RNA (254 nucleotides) under uncultured bacterium. Its description in RNAcentral is "partial 16S ribosomal RNA". It matches the Rfam family "Bacterial small subunit ribosomal RNA", at positions 524 to 776 of the family's 1533-position model. The record is from RNAcentral.
UACGUAGGCUCCAAGCGUUAUCCGGAUUUACUGGGCGUAAAGAGUUGCGUAGUUGGCAGAGUAAGUUAGUAGUGAAAUCGUAUGGCUCAACCAUACUCACAUUGCUAAAACUGCUCAGCUUGAGGAUGAGAGAGGUCACUGGAAUUCCUUGUGUAGGAGUGAAAUCCGUAGAUAUAAGGAGGAACACCGAUGGCGUAGGCAGGUGACUGGCUCAUUUCUGACACUAAGGCACGAAAGCGUGGGGAGCAAACGGG